CGCUGGCGGCGUGCCUAACACAUGCAAGUCGAGCGAUGAAACCCUUCGGGUGGAUUAGCGGCGGACGGGUGAGUAACACGUGGGUAACCUGCCUCAAAGAGGGGGAUAGCCUCCCGAAAGGGAGAUUAAUACCGCAUAACAUUAUUUCUUCGCAUGAAGAGAUAAUCAAAGGAGUAAUCCGCUUUGAGAUGGACCCGCGGCGCAUUAGCUAGUUGGUGAGGUAAUGGCUCACCAAGGCGACGAUGCGUAGCCGACCUGAGAGGGUGAUCGGCCACAUUGGAACUGAGAUACGGUCCAGACUCCUACGGGAGGCAGCAGUGGGGAAUAUUGCGCAAUGGGGGAAACCCUGAACCGCAGCAACGCCGCGUGGGCGAAGAAGGCCUUCGGGUUGUAAAGCUCUGUCUUCUGGGACGAUAAUGACGGUACCAGAGGAGGAAGCCACGGCUAACUACGUGCCAGCCGCCGC
Molecule: ribosomal RNA, 466 nt
Filed under: uncultured bacterium
Lineage: Bacteria
Description: bacterial SSU rRNA
Rfam family: Bacterial small subunit ribosomal RNA
Source: RNAcentral